RNAcentral lists this long non-coding RNA (1609 nucleotides) under Homo sapiens (human). RNAcentral describes it as "HSALNT0400138". The record is from RNAcentral. Lineage: Eukaryota; Metazoa; Chordata; Mammalia; Primates; Hominidae.
UGGUGGCUGGGGUUCAGUCUGCCGCUGCAAAUACCAAAAGCUGUCCUCAUUGAGUCAUCCCUCCCAGAGCAGGAAGAGCAGAGGUUCUGGGAAACAACCCCAAGGAGAGAGACAGGGCAUUUAUAAAACAGCAUGUAAGCAUCUCUGCAGUUGCUGUCCCCAGAGCCCACUUCCUGGAUAUUGCCAGCUGCCUGGACCAACCUUUCCGAAAGAUCAGCCAGGUCACAGUGAGGGUCAAAGGUGAGCCACGGGCCUCAGCAGCUGCUGAGUGGAUGGUGCGUGGGACUCAGGAAGUGACGUUCUCUCCCCGCCCAGCCCCCUUCCUCAGUCUAUUGCUCCGAAUCCUGGACCACACACUGCGUGCUGAGGCUCCAUCGCUGUGCUGGGUGAGGGGUGGAGGACUGUCCAGCUGACAGCCACCCAGGAGGCCUGCCCAGGAGACCCAGCCCAGCCUCUCCUUGGAACCUGAAGAACUCCAGGCAGCUGAUGGGACACUGGGGCCCAGCAGGAGGCCACUGGAGGCUCCAAGGGCUCUGAAAUGUUGAGAACUUCCCUGCAGGUACCAGCGAAGAGGGCAAGAACACAGCACUACUUCCUUGGAUACUGUUUCCCUCCUCAGAGGGGUUUUCUGAGCUGCCCUGGGUCCUGUGAGGAAGAUCUCCCCUUCCUGUAAAGACACCAGUCCUACUGGAUCAGGGCCCACCCGUGUGACUUCACUUUUACUUGAGUACCUCUCACAGACCCUAACUCCAAAUCAGGUCACUUGCUGAGGUACUGCAUGUGAAGACUUUGACAUUUGAAUUUUGAGGGGGCCACCGUUUAACCUGAACCACCAAGGACAGAGCCAAAGACCCUGGGUGACAGGCCCAGAACAGGACCUGGUGGAGGCUCUUCUUUAGGGGAGAGAGGGAAAUGGGAGCCACCACUGGCAGAGCCUGAAGGCAGGGCAGCCAGAAAGAAGCUGUGGGAGUCCCCACCAUGGAAGACCCUGCCGAGCAUCCUGUGUCUCCUGAAGCAGACCCUGACAUGAGGACUGGGGGCACGUGUUUAUUAAGGGCGAUCCCCGGAAGGAGGAGAUAACCAGGCAGAAGUCCUAGCAGAGUAUGCCCACGCUGGUUAGUGCUGCUGCAAAGAUGAGCCGAAGACCAUGAGAGACCUCCAGGUGGUCCUUCUGGGGAGAAGAAAUGGGUUUUGGCCCCAAAUCCUUCUGCUGCAUUUUUCCCCUAUCCCUGGGAAGCCAUGAGACCUCAAACCUGUGUUCCCAAGGAGGCGAGCUGCUGUUCCCAGGUGAUGAUAUGAUGUGCUUGGGGAAAGUAAGUGGCUGCCAGACAUGGCUGAGAGCUGUUGUCACUGCCGUCAAGUGCAUGUCUCCAAGCCAUAUCACACGGCGUCCCUCGAUGUGAGGCCACAUGGCAAGUGGGCCGUGGAUCUCCCUCUGCCCUUUGCAAGCACGUAAGACAGCAGAUUUUGCAGAUACCUUGUGGCGCAGGGGAAUUUCCUUUGGCCAGGUCUGAAGAAAUAAAGCAGCAGGCACCGAGAACAAAGCCAAGGCUUUCAAAAGACAAGGAGCCAAAAAACUUACUCAAAAUAAAAGUAGUUUUAAAAUGUC